Molecule: ribosomal RNA, 226 nt
Filed under: uncultured bacterium
Lineage: Bacteria
Description: partial 16S ribosomal RNA
Rfam family: Bacterial small subunit ribosomal RNA
Source: RNAcentral
GCGUUGCUCGGAAUCACUGGGCGUAAAGCGCACGUAGGCGGACUCUUAAGUCGGGGGUGAAAUCCUGGAGCUCAACUCCAGAACUGCCUUCGAUACUGGGAGUCUUGAGUUCGGGAGAGGUGAGUGGAACUGCGAGUGUAGAGGUGAAAUUCGUAGAUAUUCGCAAGAACACCAGUGGCGAAGGCGGCUCACUGGCCCGAUACUGACGCUGAGGUGCGAAAGCGUG